UGCAAGGACCUCGCGGAGCGUUUACAAGC
RNAcentral lists this small RNA (29 nucleotides) under Bombyx mori (domestic silkworm). RNAcentral describes it as "ovarian small RNA-8470". Lineage: Eukaryota; Metazoa; Arthropoda; Insecta; Lepidoptera; Bombycidae. The record is from RNAcentral.